UAGGGAGUGAUGAGGGGCAGGCCAUGGGUGGUGAUUGGCGACAAUGAGCAACAGGGAGAGUCUAUGAUACUAGGGUACGUAGCAAUAGGGAUCAGUGGGGGGCAGGCCUUUGAUGGUGAUCGAUGGUAACAAGCACAAGAGAGAGUGGGCAAUGAGGGAUAGACUAAGGCGGUGAUCAAUGGUGAUUAUUAGUAUGGAGAGUUAGUGACAACAAUUUGCGUAGGCGAUAGGGAGUGGUGAGGGAUAGGAUGGGGGUAGCAAUCAAUGGUAAGGGUGGUGGGGAUCGUUGGGAGCGGUGAUCGACAACAACGAUUGAUGGGUUUUUGAAGGAGUGUGAACAUCAAGAAAGGAGCUCUAAAUAAUCAAGUUAAUUAUGCUUGAAAUUUGACGGUGUUGCCUUUGUUUUCAUGGACGCUUAUUUACUGUUUGUUGAAAUGCCAUAAAGAACUCGGGCAUUUGUGGCGCACUUGCAGCUGAAAGGUCUGUGAAUUGGUGGCAUAUAACUGCUUGUGGAUGCAGCAUCAAGCAGCCGCAUUCAGGUAAGAAUCUCUACACUAUAUAUAACUUUUUGAAGUACUUUUAUCUGAUCAUUUGUCUGCUGAGUCAUGUACGAUGAGUAGAACUUGGCCAGGCUAUCUACUAGAAUUUUAGCUGCUUGGUGUCCUAUUUGUAGUCCUUCAUCCCCAACUCGAGUUCCUCACAGUUGUCUACCUUUAGCCAACAUUAGAUGCUUCAGAAGAUGGCUUGGUGCAUACCAACUGUCUCAGCUAUUUGUGGUGUCCCAAAUUUUGGAGCACAAAGCAACUUGGGUUUUGUCUUAGAUGAUUUGCUUAUCAAAAUCACAACAACAAGGUGAAUUUGGUGAAUAAUCAUGAGGUGCUUUAAUUUUUUGCAGAAGGGAUAACAAAGGACUUGCUAGCAUUGAAUUUUUGGCAAGUUAUAAGAACUUGUUUUGUCUAGUUUCUUCUUUGCUAUUAUGUUAAAGUUUGACAUAUGGGAACUGCACUUGGUGCCGAGAGGAUAUCAAGUUUAUCCUGCCUUUUAUACAUGAUAAAGGCUUCUUUUUUUCUUUUUGAAGAUUAAUUUUGCAAACUUCCCCUAGGUAUCAGACACCAUCUUCAAUCUUCGAGAUGAUUCUUGAUCAGAGGUAUUUUAAGAAGCUUAAUUUUCCUUUUCUAUCUGAUGAAUGAUUAAGACUUUCACAGAGAUGAGAUCUACAGUUCUUAUAAUGUCCAUCUCCCUACUGAAAAACCUAUGAAAUGAAGGAUCUAAGACUUCCACAGAGGUGAGAUCUAAAUCUUUUUUAGUGUCCUAUAUAUUACCAUGUGUAGUUACAACUAUGAAGAUGCCCUACUGAAAAGCUAAGGACAAGUUCAAAAGAGUA
This is a long non-coding RNA of Musa acuminata AAA Group (dessert banana), 1384 nucleotides long. RefSeq lists it as uncharacterized. NCBI's taxonomy places the organism in Eukaryota, Viridiplantae, Streptophyta, Magnoliopsida, Zingiberales, Musaceae. The transcript has 3 exons. The record is from RefSeq and is a predicted model, not a curated record.